This is a non-coding RNA of Zonotrichia albicollis (white-throated sparrow), 323 nucleotides long. The record is from RefSeq and is a predicted model, not a curated record. Lineage: Eukaryota; Metazoa; Chordata; Aves; Passeriformes; Passerellidae.
GUUUGAGUGGAUUUACAGUGCUCUCCAAGAACUGUGGGUUAUUUUCUAAUAAUCCAUGUUAAUAAGGAGUGUGAAGGAUGCUGCUUGUUGAGCUGCCUGCUGCGAGUGUUUCCACAAGCCUUGAGUCUCUCCUGGGAUGGAAACCUGCAAGUUUUGAGUCUCAAUUUCCUGGUAUCAGCUGUGCUUGCUCACGAAGCUGGGCUUGAGUUUGGAUGGUGUUGGGUUGGAAUUUUGCAGGGCAGCCUCCAGAUUUAUACUGCUGCAUGCUGAGAUUAGCAGCUGGAUUUUUCAUUAUUUGCUUGGUGUGCCGAAGGAAACUGGCU